Molecule: long non-coding RNA, 230 nt
Organism: Pygoscelis adeliae (Adelie penguin)
Lineage: Eukaryota; Metazoa; Chordata; Aves; Sphenisciformes; Spheniscidae
Exons: 3
Source: RefSeq, a predicted model, not a curated record
CCGCUGGGGAAGAGGGGACAGAGUAUUUCACUUAAAGUUUAUAUGUUCAACAAAUGGCUACCUUCUCAUAUGAAAGAAAUAUGAAAGAAAGCAAAAAUGUGUGAGAUUAAACAUUUGAGGUAUAUACAGAAACAGAAAGCUCAGCUUAUGACACUUACCAAUAGUGCAGACUCCUGGAGACUGGAAUUCGCAGUAUCAAAUACCAAAUUUCUCUGGUCAAUAAAUUAACU